GAUGAACGCUGGCGGCGUGCCUAAUACAUGCAAGUCGAGCGAACAGACGAUGAGCUUGCUCCUUUGACGUUAGCGGCGGACGGGUGAGUAACACGUGUAUAACCUACCUAUAAUUCUGGGAUAACUUCGAGAAACCGGAUCUAAUACCGGAUAAUAUAUUGAACCGCAUGGUUCAAUAGUGAAAGUCGGUUUUGCUGUCACUUAUAGAUGGUUCCGCGCCGCAUUAUCUAGUUGGUAAGGUAACGGCUUAUCAAGGCAACGAUGCGUAGCCGAGCUGAGAGGGUGAUCGGCCACACUGGAACUGAGACACGGUCCAGACUCCUACGGGAGGCAGCAGUAGUGAAUCUUCCGCAAUGGGCGAAAGCCUGACGGAGCAACGACGCGUGAGUGAUGAAGGUCGUCGGAUCGUAAAACUCUGUUAUUAGGGAAGAACAAAUGUGUAAGUAACUAUGCACGUCUUGACGGUACCUAAUCAGAAAGCCACGGCUAACUACG
This 495-nucleotide ribosomal RNA is filed under the name uncultured bacterium. RNAcentral describes it as "partial 16S ribosomal RNA". It matches the Rfam family "Bacterial small subunit ribosomal RNA", at positions 28 to 505 of the family's 1533-position model. The record is from RNAcentral.